UGGGGAAUUUUGGACAAUGGGCGAAAGCCUGAUCCAGCAAUGCCGCGUGUGUGAAGAAGGCCUUCGGGUUGUAAAGCACUUUUGUCCGGAAAGAAAUCCUUGGCUCUAAUACAGUCGGGGGAUGACGGUACCGGAAGAAUAAGCACCGGCUAACUACGUGCCAGCAGCCGCGGUAAUACGCAGGGUGCAAGCGUUAAUCGGAAUUACUGGGCGUAAAGCGUGCGCAGGCGGUUUGCUAAGACCGAUGUGAAAUCCCCGGGCUCAACCUGGGAACUGCAUUGGUGACUGGCAGGCUAGAGUAUGGCAGAGGGGGGUAGAUGUCCACGUGUAGCAGUGAAAUGCGUAGAGAUGUGGAGGAAUACCGAUGGCGAAGGCAGCCCCCUGGGCCAAUACUGACGCUCAUGCACGAAAGCGUGGGGAGCAAACAGGAUUAGAUACCCUGGUAGUCCACGCCCUAAACGAUGUCAACUAGUUGUUGGGGAUUCAUUUCCUUAGUAACGUAGCUAACGCGUGAAGUUGACCGCCUGGGGAGUACGGUCGCAAGAUUAAAACUCAAUGAAUUGACGGGGUCAUAGCUGUUUCCU
This 584-nucleotide ribosomal RNA is filed under the name uncultured bacterium. Its description in RNAcentral is "partial 16S ribosomal RNA". It matches the Rfam family "Bacterial small subunit ribosomal RNA", at positions 355 to 1375 of the family's 1533-position model. The record is from RNAcentral.